Molecule: ribosomal RNA, 406 nt
Filed under: uncultured bacterium
Lineage: Bacteria
Description: partial 16S ribosomal RNA
Rfam family: Bacterial small subunit ribosomal RNA
Source: RNAcentral
AUUGAACGCUGGCGGCAGGCCUAACACAUGCAAGUCGAACGAGUGGCGGACGGGUGAGUAAUGUCUGGGAAACUGCCUGAUGGAGGGGGAUAACUACUGGAAACGGUAGCUAACACCGCAUACCAUUGGAUGUGCCCAGAUGGGAUUAGCGAGUAGGUGGGGUAAAGGCUCACCUAGGCGACGAUCCACAGCUGGUCUGAGAGGAGGACCAGCACAACUGGAACUGAGCCACGGUCCAGAAUCCUACGGGAGGCAGCAGUGGGGAAUAGUGCACAAUGGGCGCAAGCCUGAUGCAGCCAUGCCGCGUGUAUGAAGAAGGCCUUCGGGUUGUAAAAUACUUUCAGCGGGGAGGCGUUACCCGCAGAAGAAGCACCGGCUAACUCCGUGCCAGCAGCCGCGGUAAUAC